This is a long non-coding RNA of Homo sapiens (human), 466 nucleotides long. Ensembl annotates it as OR2W1 antisense RNA 1. Its record names the gene OR2W1-AS1. The record is from Ensembl. Lineage: Eukaryota; Metazoa; Chordata; Mammalia; Primates; Hominidae.
AAGGCUGUUGUCUGUUGUCAUCAGGACCAGGUGGCUGAUUUAGGUUCCAGGCAGAAUGGAAUUGGGUGCCCUGGAAGCCUGAGGUAGAUUUGGUACUAUGGAGGGUGCACUUGCUGAUAUGAAGUUUUAUUUUAUACAAAUCCUGGAGAAGCUAAGUGAGGCCAUGUCAGUGUUGCCAGAAGACAUGAGAAUCAUGCCAGAUCUCUGUGGCUUAACAUUGGAACAUAGUGUUCUGGAGGCUGGGAAGUUCAAGAUCAAGGUACCAGCAAAUUUCAUUACCUGGUGCCCCAUAAUGGCACACAGCUUUACUCAGCAACCCCUGCCAGCUUCCAAGCCCCAGGAUACUGACCUGCACCAGCACAUGGGGCAGCAUUACCUCCCCAACAGUGUGGAGAAGAGAACAUUUCACCACUGGGUGAUGAGAGUAGACAGUGACUCUUGGCUUCUCAAUGCUAGACAUGAUUGG